GGGCAGACACACUGAAGUCGCUAGACAUUUGAGGAACACAUCCGGGGAAGAAGACACAGGUGGCUGGUCAUGGAGAGCCCGCUGGGGGAAGAGCACACAGACAGGCACCGGCAGGCCAUUGACCAGCGGGACAAGGUGGGCUCAAUGUCAUCACAAGGGUGCUUAAGAGGGAAAGAGGAAGCCAUGAGGGUCAGAGUCAAAGGAAGACUUGAAGAUACUACACUGCGGACUUUAAAGAUGAAGGAAGGGGCGAAAACCAAGAAUGUGGGAAGCCUCUAGAAGCUAGAGAAGGCAAGGAAACAAAUUUUCCACUAGAGCCUCCAGAAGGAACACAGCCCUGCUGACCCACUGUAAUGUCUGACCUCUAGAUGUGUAAGGGUAGUAAGACUGAAAGUCUCAGAAAGGCACUGUUAAAUUCUUAUUCCUCAACUAUGCAACUCAAAACUGGGGUCCUCAGCAGUGAGCGAGGGGUGAGAGAAGACACUGUAUAAACAUGGCACAUCCUCCUGGAAAGUCAACUUUACUCAAAGGUUCUUACACACAGUGACAGCUAGCAGAGUCUAAAAUGCUGACAUUAUGACUUAGAGAUGUGAUAAAGAGAAACAUCUAUUGCAUUUUCUGUCUGGUUCCAGUGUCGUCUAUGGUGUGAUUCAUCUCCCAAUACCCCUGGGUGCAAUAAAACUGGUCCCUUCUUUGUACCCCGUAGCUCUUUGUUCCUCUCCUCGUAUGUGAUGGCUGUUUGAGCAUCUUUUCACCCCUCCACACCAGGAACUCCUCAGUGAGUUCUUGAGAUCUAUGCCCUAUUCACCUUUCCAGAAAAUUUGAUUCCUGUCUUCAAGGAGUUUCCAGUCUGGGCAAGGAAGCAGACAUAUAAACAUGGAAUUACGUUGCAAUUUGGAAAGUGAUGUAAAACAAUUAUCUAAAUUAGUGUACACAGAUGAGCACUAAUUUACUAAAGAAUCUUGCUUUUCUCAUAUAACAACUGAGCAGUCGGCAUGUAGGUGUAGUCUGUUUCUUAAAAUAGCAAUGUUUUCCCAGUCUUCAUAUCAAUAUUUAUGUUGUUACUCAUGCUCUGUUAAAACAAAACAAAAUAAAACAAAAUCUCUCAAA
This 1110-nucleotide long non-coding RNA is filed under the name Homo sapiens (human). Its description in RNAcentral is "survival associated mitochondrial melanoma specific oncogenic non-coding RNA". Lineage: Eukaryota; Metazoa; Chordata; Mammalia; Primates; Hominidae. The record is from RNAcentral.